Molecule: ribosomal RNA, 99 nt
Filed under: Sorex araneus (European shrew)
Lineage: Eukaryota; Metazoa; Chordata; Mammalia; Eulipotyphla; Soricidae
Source: RNAcentral
CCAGGCCAUACUACUACUGAACGCAUGCCCAAUCUCACCUGAUCUCGGAAGCUAAGCAGGGUCGGGCCUGGUUAGUAAUUGGAUGGGAGAUGGCCUGGG